Leucoraja erinaceus (little skate) is the source of this 502-nucleotide long non-coding RNA. RefSeq lists it as uncharacterized. The record is from RefSeq and is a predicted model, not a curated record. The transcript is spliced from 3 exons. NCBI's taxonomy places the organism in Eukaryota, Metazoa, Chordata, Chondrichthyes, Rajiformes, Rajidae.
AUCUUGAUGACCAUGCACUGGUGAGAUCUGAACACAAGUGUCUGGAUUAAUGGGAUAAUGCCAGCGAUGAACAGAAGAAAGACAAUUGUCAAGGCGAUCGAUAGAACAACCUUCCAUGGAAAUGCGUCCCUGCAAAAUACAAGGAAAAACAAUGACGAGCUCAUGAAGCUGCCCGACCCGUUGAGUAUCUCAUCUUGUACAGUUUGUGUGGCUCAGUGUAAAGUCUAUAUCACUCAUCUCAUGAGGAUUCUUAGUUCAUUAGUUCAUAAGUGAUAGGGGCAGAUUGAGGCCAUUUGGCCCAUUGAGUCUAUUCCACCUUUCAAUCAUGGCUGACCUAUCUCUCCCUCUCAACCCCAUUCUCCUGCCUUCUCCCCAUAUCGCUUGACACCCGUACUAAUGGAGAACCUGUCAAUCUCCACCUGAAAAUACCCAAUGACUUGGCCCUCAUUGGAAACAUGGUAAAAGCUUUUCCCUGUACCUCAGUACAGACAACAACAAUAAA